This 406-nucleotide long non-coding RNA is filed under the name Pan troglodytes (chimpanzee). RNAcentral describes it as "long non-coding RNA NONPTRT004302". Lineage: Eukaryota; Metazoa; Chordata; Mammalia; Primates; Hominidae. The record is from RNAcentral.
GUGGUAAAUGUCAUUGUUUUCUGCAUAAAAUAGUCUAAAGGUAAGAAAACAGUAAAGUGUCUAAUAGAUGAUUAGUAAGUUAUAUAAUAUCCUGUAAAGAUUACACCAUAUAGUUGUGUUAAGUAUCGACAAUACUUAGUUAUGUCAAUUAAUAUGUAUUAGCAUAGAAAAUAUGUAUUAUCUAUUGUUAAAGUUAAAAAUCAAGUUCGCAAUUAAAGAUCCUUGCCUUCUCAAGUAACAUGAUAACAACAUGAAUCUAGCCCUAAGCCUAUUAUUACCAACUAAAUAAACCAAUUAUCUAAUUAAUGACAGACAUUUAAAAUAAUUAUUGUCCAAUGGAAUGUUAUACAUUGAUAUUAUGAAAAUAGAAACAAAAAGUUAUUUGUAAUUGUUUAAAUAUGAUUUU